GUGUCAGCCGCCGCGGUAAUACGAAGGGGGCUAGCGUUGUUCGGAAUUACUGGGCGUAAAGCGCACGUAGGCGGACUUAUAAGUCAGGGGUGAAAUCCCGGGGCUCAACCUCGGAACUGCCUUUGAUACUGUAAGUCUCGAGACCGGAAGAGGUGAGUGGAAUUCCUAGUGUAGAGGUGAAAUUCGUAGAUAUUAGGAAGAACACCAGUGGCGAAGGCGGCUCACUGGUCCGGUUCUGACGCUGAGGUGCGAAAGCGUGGGGAGCAAACAGGAUUAGAUACCCUUGUAGUCC
This 292-nucleotide ribosomal RNA is filed under the name uncultured bacterium. RNAcentral describes it as "partial 16S ribosomal RNA". It matches the Rfam family "Bacterial small subunit ribosomal RNA", at positions 505 to 796 of the family's 1533-position model. The record is from RNAcentral.